RNAcentral lists this ribosomal RNA (909 nucleotides) under Triticum aestivum (bread wheat). RNAcentral describes it as "partial small subunit ribosomal RNA". Lineage: Eukaryota; Viridiplantae; Streptophyta; Magnoliopsida; Poales; Poaceae. The record is from RNAcentral.
AUGGACCGUAGUCAGGGGAGGGUCGAACCUUCGACGGAGGUAGCAACCAGACGACGAGGAGAGGGCCGAAGGUCGAAACGGGCCGCCAAUGGACGAGCUGACACCGGAAAUCCAGCCGCCGCCCCAGUCGACCCGCCGAGCUGCCAUGGAGCCGGCACGGCAAAGCCACCUCGCCGCCGCCACCCACAGCCAGGACCGCAGCCACGCCGGGCCAGGGCCCCAAACCUGCGCAGCCGGCCAGAAAAAGGCAAAAUCCGGCCGGCACGCACCACCACCACCGCCACCAUGCCGACGAGGACGAGCGUAACAACCCCCGCGCGCCGCUGGCAGGCCCAAGCCGCCGCAGCCCAUGCCGCCCGCGAAGAAGCGGCCGGAGGAUCCACCACCGUCCAGAUCAGAUCUGGGAAACCCUCGCCGCCACUCCGAGCGCACCCACCACCGCAUCCAAGCACGCCAGCCCCCAAGCACCAUGCCCCGCAAGGCCCAGCAGCCCUCCACGCCACCACCCUCAGCCGCCGCCGUCGCCUUGGCUGCUGGUGCCGCGCCGUCGUGCCCCGCCAAGCGCCACACAUCAGCUCGAGGGGGGCAUCCCCGCGUCAGACCACCUCGAGGGAUGGGAGACCAGGCCCCGCCGCCGCCUACGCCGACCGGGCUUUGCCCGGCGGCGCGCUCCAGCGGCAGCAAGGGGAAGAGGAGGGGAGAGGACGGCUAGCGGCGGCGCAGACGGGAAUCGCCCGUCCGCUCGCGGGAGCAGGAUGGGCGAGCCGCUCAGUUUCCUUUUCUUUGACAGCAAAUAAACUUUAUUUCUCAGAUGAUGGACAAGUCGUUUACAAAAGCAUGAGAAAUAAAGUCGGGGAUAGAAUCUUCCCAAAGAUGAGAAGAUCUACUAUGGGUAGAAUGCUUUGCUAA